This 253-nucleotide ribosomal RNA is filed under the name uncultured bacterium. Its description in RNAcentral is "partial 16S ribosomal RNA". It matches the Rfam family "Bacterial small subunit ribosomal RNA", at positions 524 to 776 of the family's 1533-position model. The record is from RNAcentral.
UACGUAGGGGGCAAGCGUUGUCCGGAAUUAUUGGGCGUAAAGAGCGUGUAGGCGGUCCGGUAAGUCAGCUGUGAAAGUCAAGGGCUCAACCCUUGAAAGCCGGUUGAUACUGUCGGGCUAGAGUCCGGAAGAGGCGAGUGGAAUUCCCGGUGUAGCGGUGAAAUGCGCAGAUAUCGGGAGGAACACCGGUGGCGAAGGCGGCGACCUGGGUCGACACUGACGCUGAGGCGCGAAAGCGUGGGGAGCAAACAGG